ACAACCAGUCCAGAGCAUACCCCAGAGACAAUUCAGUCUCAGACUCCCACUGCUCCCUACACUGAUAGACAGGAUAACACCUUCAACCAUCUUGCCUGUGCGAAAGUGAACCAGGCUCUGGGAAGGGUACAAAGACAAAAAACAAGAAGACGAUGAAGAAGAUGGCCCUCGACGACCUUACAUUCUACUGGAUUUCCUGGAUUGUAGGUUCUGAGAGGACAUUCUCUCUCCAGGCAUUGAUCAGUUGUUCCCAACACACCGUGCUCAUGAAAGCCUGAGUCUGGAUCUUGAGUCCUUGGCUGCCUUUUCUGCCGUGCGUUUCUUUCCAGGAGCCCAAGUAACUGAACGAGUGAGUGAGGUUGGGAGUUCUCGGGACCCUCAGCUCCACCUGCAGGAAGCAGCUGCAAUACUCCACUCUUCUUGGAGAAGAAAAGCAUGAAAUGAUGGGGAGCCCAAACUUUGUCCUGGCCAGCCAAAAGACGGGGACUUUGGGAGGAGUGGGCAGAGAGUGCAGAGCCAAGGAGAGCAAUAAAA
Molecule: long non-coding RNA, 534 nt
Organism: Vombatus ursinus (common wombat)
Lineage: Eukaryota; Metazoa; Chordata; Mammalia; Diprotodontia; Vombatidae
Exons: 3
Source: RefSeq, a predicted model, not a curated record